This 1213-nucleotide ribosomal RNA is filed under the name Microbacterium sp. Its description in RNAcentral is "bacterial SSU rRNA". It matches the Rfam family "Bacterial small subunit ribosomal RNA", at positions 95 to 1319 of the family's 1533-position model. Lineage: Bacteria; Bacillati; Actinomycetota; Actinomycetes; Micrococcales; Microbacteriaceae. The record is from RNAcentral.
GUGGCGAACGGGUGAGUAACACGUGAGCAACCUGCCCCUGACUCUGGGAUAACAGCCGGAAACGGCUGCUAAUACCGGAUAUGCACCAUGAACGCAUGUUCUGUGGUGGGAAAGAUUUUUCGGUUGGGGAUGGGCUCGCGGCCUAUCAGCUUGUUGGUGAGGUAAUGGCUCACCAAGGCGUCGACGGGUAGCCGGCCUGAGAGGGUGACCGGCCACACUGGGACUGAGACACGGCCCAGACUCCUACGGGAGGCAGCAGUGGGGAAUAUUGCACAAUGGGCGAAAGCCUGAUGCAGCAACGCCGCGUGAGGGAUGACGGCCUUCGGGUUGUAAACCUCUUUUAGCAGGGAAGAAGCGAGAGUGACGGUACCUGCAGAAAAAGCGCCGGCUAACUACGUGCCAGCAGCCGCGGUAAUACGUAGGGCGCAAGCGUUAUCCGGAAAUUAUUGGGCGUAAAGAGCUCGUAGGCGGUUUGUCGCGUCUGCUGUGAAAACUGGAGGCUCAACCUCCAGCCUGCAGUGGGUACGGGCAGACUAGAGUGCGGUAGGGGAGAUUGGAAUUCCUGGUGUAGCGGUGGAAUGCGCAGAUAUCAGGAGGAACACCGAUGGCGAAGGCAGAUCUCUGGGCCGUAACUGACGCUGAGGAGCGAAAGGGUGGGGAGCGAACAGGCUUAGAUACCCUGGUAGUCCACCCCGUAAACGUUGGGAACUAGUUGUGGGGGCCUUUCCACGGUCUCCGUGACGCAGCUAACGCAUUAAGUUCCCCGCCUGGGGAGUACGGCCGCAAGGCUAAAACUCAAAGGAAUUGACGGGGACCCGCACAAGCGGCGGAGCAUGCGGAUUAAUUCGAUGCAACGCGAAGAACCUUACCAAGGCUUGACAUAUACGAGAACGGGCUAGAAAUAGUCAACUCUUUGGACACUCGUAUACAGGUGGUGCAUGGUUGUCGUCAGCUCGUGUCGUGAGAUGUUGGGUUAAGUCCCGCAACGAGCGCAACCCUCGUUCUCUGUUGCCAGCACGUAAUGGUGGGAACUCAGGGGAUACUGCCGGGGUCAACUCGGAGGAAGGUGGGGAUGACGUCAAAUCAUCAUGCCCCUUAUGUCUUGGGCUUCACGCAUGCUACAAUGGCCGGUACAAAGGGCUGCAAUACCGUGAGGUGGAGCGAAUCCCAAAAAGCCGGUCCCAGUUCGGAUUGAGGUCUGCAACUCGACCUC